Molecule: long non-coding RNA, 304 nt
Organism: Centruroides sculpturatus (bark scorpion)
Lineage: Eukaryota; Metazoa; Arthropoda; Arachnida; Scorpiones; Buthidae
Exons: 3
Source: RefSeq, a predicted model, not a curated record
UCCAAGCCAAAUUCAUAUUUAAGUGCAGAACAUGUCUACAUCUUGGUGCAGAAGUCAAAUAUUGUUCAAAAUUAAAAAACUUUUGAUUCCAAAAAUGUUGAGAGAGAGAAAUUGUUCCCUCAAGCCCCCAAGUGAUUCCUGAAAAACUCAUAAAGCAAGCCAUGUCAUUUCUAUUAGCUCAGUGUUAUAAAUUAACGUAUCAUGUAAUUAACCUGUCAGAAAUGUUAUUUCAAAGCUAUGGCAAUAAAAAAUAGCAUUUAAAUCAGGGGUGUCCAACCUUUUUGUUUCUCUGGGCCGCAUUGGA